ACUCCUGCGGGAGGCAGCAGUGGGGAAUAUUGGACAAUGGGCGCAAGCCUGAUCCAGCCAUGCCGCGUGAGUGAUGAAGGCCCUAGGGUUGUAAAGCUCUUUCACCGGUGAAGAUAAUGACGGUAACCGGAGAAGAAGCCCCGGCUAACUUCGUGCCAGCAGCCGCGGUAAUACGAAGGGGGCUAGCGUUGUUCGGAUUUACUGGGCGUAAAGCGCACGUAGGCGGACUAUUAAGUCAGGGGUGAAAUCCCGGGGCUCAACCCCGGAACUGCCUUUGAUACUGGUAGUCUUGAGUUCGAGAGAGGUGAGUGGAAUUCCGAGUGUAGAGGUGAAAUUCGUAGAUAUUCGAAGGAACACCAGUGGCGAAGGCGGCUCACUGGCUCGAUACUGACGCUGAGGUGCGAAAGCGUGGGGAGCAAACAGGAUUAGAAACCCGAGUAGUCCC
Molecule: ribosomal RNA, 445 nt
Filed under: uncultured organism
Description: partial 16S ribosomal RNA
Rfam family: Bacterial small subunit ribosomal RNA
Source: RNAcentral